RNAcentral lists this ribosomal RNA (350 nucleotides) under uncultured soil bacterium. RNAcentral's name for it is "bacterial SSU rRNA". It matches the Rfam family "Bacterial small subunit ribosomal RNA", at positions 26 to 373 of the family's 1533-position model. The record is from RNAcentral.
AGAUUGAACGCUGGCGGAAUGCUUUACACAUGCAAGUCGAACGGCAGCACGGGGGCAACCCUGGUGGCGAGUGGCGAACGGGUGAGUAAUACAUCGGAACGUGCCCAGUCGUGGGGGAUAACUACGCGAAAGCGUAGCUAAUACCGCAUACGAACUCUGGUUGAAAGCGGGGGACUCGCAAGAGCCUCGCGCGAUUGGAGCGGCCGAUGGCAGAUUAGGUAGUUGGUAGGGGUAAAGCUCACCAAGCCGAGAUCUAGUAACUGGUCUGAGAGGACGACCAGCCACACGUGGGACUGAGACACGGCCCAGACCUCCGUACGGGAGCAGCGAGGUGGGUAAUUUGGACAAGU